RNAcentral lists this ribosomal RNA (253 nucleotides) under uncultured bacterium. Its description in RNAcentral is "partial 16S ribosomal RNA". It matches the Rfam family "Bacterial small subunit ribosomal RNA", at positions 524 to 776 of the family's 1533-position model. The record is from RNAcentral.
UACGUAGGGGGCAAGCGUUGUCCGGAUUUACUGGGCGUAAAGCGCGUGUAGGCGGCCACGCCGGUCCGUUGUGAAAACUGGAGGCUCAACUUCCAGACGUCGACGGAAACCGUGUGGCUAGAGUCCGGAAGAGGAGAGUGGAAUUUCUGGUGUAGCGGUGAAAUGCGCAGAUAUCAGGAAGAACACCAAUGGCGAAGGCAGCUCUCUGGGACGGUACUGACGCUGAGACGCGAAAGCGUGGGGAUCAAACAGG